GCGGGUCUGAGAGGAUGAUCCGCCACACUGGGACUGAGACACGGCCCAGACUCCUACGGGAGGCAGCAGUGGGGAAUAUUGGACAAUGGGGGGAACCCUGAUCCAGCCAUGCCGCGUGUGUGAAGAAGGCCUUAUGGUUGUAAAGCACUUUAAGCGAGGAGGAGGCUACUCUAGUUAAUACCUAGAGAUAGUGGACGUUACUCGCAGAAUAAGCACCGGCUAACUCUGUGCCAGCAGCCGCGGUAAUACAGAGGGUGCGAGCGUUAAUCGGAUUUACUGGGCGUAAAGCGUGCGUAGGCGGCUUAUUAAGUCGGAUGUGAAAUCCCCGAGCUUAACUUGGGAAUUGCAUUCGAUACUGGUGAGCUAGAGUAUGGGAGAGGAUGGUAGAAUUCCAGGUGUAGCGGUGAAAUGCGUAGAGAUCUGGAGGAAUACCGAUGGCGAAGGCAGCCAUCUGGCCUAAUACUGACGCUGAGGUACGAAAGCAUGGGGAGCAAACAGGAUUAGAUACCCUGGUAGUCCAUGCCGUAA
Molecule: ribosomal RNA, 528 nt
Filed under: Acinetobacter baumannii
Lineage: Bacteria; Pseudomonadati; Pseudomonadota; Gammaproteobacteria; Moraxellales; Moraxellaceae
Description: bacterial SSU rRNA
Rfam family: Bacterial small subunit ribosomal RNA
Source: RNAcentral